Molecule: ribosomal RNA, 645 nt
Filed under: uncultured bacterium
Lineage: Bacteria
Description: bacterial SSU rRNA
Rfam family: Bacterial small subunit ribosomal RNA
Source: RNAcentral
GCUGGCGGUAUGCCUAACACAUGCAAGUCGUACGAGAGUUUUUAACUCAAGUGGCGGACGGGUGAGUAACACGUAAGAAUUUGCCUUUAGGAGGGGGAUAACAUUUGGAAACGAAUGCUAAUACCCCAUAUGCUUUUAAGUGAAAUGGUAUUUUAUAUUAGCUUUUAUGUUAAUAUGUUAAUCUAUAAUUUUAAAUAUUAUUUAUAACCGCCUAAAGAGAAGCUUGCGGCUGAUUAGCUUGUUGGUAAGGUAAUGGCUUACCAAGGCGACGAUCAGUAUCUGGUUUGAGAGGAUGAUCAGACACACUGGAACUGAGACACGGUCCAGACUCCUACGGGAGGCAGCAGUGGGGAAUUUUCCGCAAUGGGCGAAAGCCUGACGGAGCAAUACCGCGUGAGGGAUGACUGCCUAUGGGUUGUAAACCUCUUUUUUCAGGGAGGAAUAAAUGACGUUACCUGAAGAAUAAGCAUCGGCUAACUCCGUGCCAGCAGCCGCGGUAAGACGGAGGAUGCAAGUGUUAUCCGGAAUCACUGGGCGUAAAGCGUCUGUAGGUGGUUUAAUAAGUCAACUGUUAAAUCUUGAGGCUCAACCUCAAAACUGCAGUCGAAACUAUUAGACUAGAGUAUAGUAGGGGUAAAGGGAAUU